This 75-nucleotide transfer RNA is filed under the name Phycisphaerae bacterium. RNAcentral's name for it is "tRNA-Glu". It matches the Rfam family "tRNA". Rfam says of the family: Transfer RNA (tRNA) molecules are approximately 80 nucleotides in length. Their secondary structure includes four short double-helical elements and three loops (D, anti-codon, and T loops). RNAcentral also lists the same sequence under 1 other name. The record is from RNAcentral. Lineage: Bacteria; Pseudomonadati; Planctomycetota; Phycisphaerae.
GGCCCCGUCGUCUAGCCUGGUUCAGGACACCACCCUUUCACGGUGGGUACAUGGGUUCGAAUCCCAUCGGGGUCA